AAGGACUUUUGGAAUUUAACUUUACGUAAACCAACAAAAAAAGGAAACUCUUUCUUUUUCUUUUUUUUUUUCAAAACAGAGCAAAGUUAAAUCCCUAAGUCCUCGAAAUGGUUAGUACAAUGCCAUGAUGUUAUGAUGUUAUGAUGUUAAGUAAACAACAAGCACAAACAAGUCACACGACCAUCAUUCCUAGGUUUUAAG
Molecule: long non-coding RNA, 201 nt
Filed under: Lathyrus oleraceus (garden pea)
Lineage: Eukaryota; Viridiplantae; Streptophyta; Magnoliopsida; Fabales; Fabaceae
Description: Pisum sativum (pea) long non-coding RNA (PSAT_LNC042213)
Source: RNAcentral